AGCGAACGCUGGCGGCAGGCCUAACACAUGCAAGUCGAACGAACUCUUCGGAGUUAGUGGCGGACGGGUGAGUAACACGUGGAACGUGCCUUUUGGUUCGGAAUAACUCAGGGAAACUUGUGCUAAUACCGAAUGUGCCCUUCGGGGGAAAGAUUUAUCGCCAUUAGAGCGGCCCGCGUCUGAUUAGCUAGUUGGUGAGGUAACGGCUCACCAAGGCGACGAUCAGUAGCUGGUCUGAGAGGAUGACCAGCCACACUGGGACUGAGACACGGCCCAGACUCCUACGGGAAGCAGCAGUGGGGAAUCUUGCGCAAUGGGCGAAAGCCUGACGCAGCCAUGCCGCGUGAAUGAUGAAGGUCUUAGGAUUGUAAAAUUCUUUCACCGGGGACGAUAAUGACGGUACCCGGAGAAGAAGCCCCGGCUAACUUCGUG
This 432-nucleotide ribosomal RNA is filed under the name uncultured bacterium. Its description in RNAcentral is "partial 16S ribosomal RNA". It matches the Rfam family "Bacterial small subunit ribosomal RNA", at positions 29 to 507 of the family's 1533-position model. The record is from RNAcentral.